This 406-nucleotide ribosomal RNA is filed under the name uncultured bacterium. RNAcentral describes it as "partial 16S ribosomal RNA". It matches the Rfam family "Bacterial small subunit ribosomal RNA", at positions 30 to 526 of the family's 1533-position model. The record is from RNAcentral.
AUUGAACGCUGGCGGCACGCCUAACCCAUGCAAGUCGCGCGAGCGGCGGACGGGUGAGUAAUGUAUGGGGAACUGCCCGAUAGAGGGGGAUAACUACUGGAAACGGUGGCUAAUACCGCAUACUAUCGGAUGAACCCAUAUGGGAUUAGCUAGUAGGUGGGGUAAAGGCUCACCUAGGCGACGAUCUCUAGCUGGUCUGAGAGGAUGAUCAGCCACACGGGGACUGAGACAAGGCCCAGAAUCCUAAGGGAGGCAGCAGUGGGGAAUAUUGCACAAAGGGCGCAAGCCUGAUGCAGCCAUGCCGUGUGUAUGAAGAAGGUCUUAGGGUUGUAAAGUACUUUCAGCGGGGAGGCGUUACUCGCAGAAGAAGCACCGGCUAACUCCGUGCAAGCAGCCGCGGUAAUUC